This 253-nucleotide ribosomal RNA is filed under the name uncultured bacterium. Its description in RNAcentral is "partial 16S ribosomal RNA". It matches the Rfam family "Bacterial small subunit ribosomal RNA", at positions 524 to 776 of the family's 1533-position model. The record is from RNAcentral.
UACGGAGGGUGCAAGCGUUAAUCGGAAUUACUGGGCGUAAAGCGCGCGUAGGCGGUUUUUUAAGUCGGAUGUGAAAGCCCCGGGCUCAACCUGGGAACUGCAUCCGNUACUGGAAGACUAGAAUGCGGGAGAGGGAGGUAGAAUUCCAUGUGUAGCAGUGAAAUGCGUAGAUAUAUGGAGGAAUACCAGUGGCGAAGGCGGCCUCCUGGCUCGACAUUGACGCUGAGGUGCGAAAGCGUGGGGAGCAAACGGG